Molecule: transfer RNA, 64 nt
Filed under: Aelia sibirica
Lineage: Eukaryota; Metazoa; Arthropoda; Insecta; Hemiptera; Pentatomidae
Description: tRNA-Arg
Source: RNAcentral
GAUAAUGAAGUAAAAAAAUUACAAUUAGUUUCGACCUAAUAUUAGGAUAUAUUUUCCCUUAUCU